RNAcentral lists this ribosomal RNA (492 nucleotides) under uncultured bacterium. Its description in RNAcentral is "partial 16S ribosomal RNA". It matches the Rfam family "Bacterial small subunit ribosomal RNA", at positions 29 to 507 of the family's 1533-position model. The record is from RNAcentral.
AGUGAACGCUGGCGGUAGGCCUAACACAUGCAAGUCGAACGGCAGCACAGUAAGAGCUUGCUCUUACGGGUGGCGAGUGGCGGGCGGGUGAGGAAUACAUCGGAAUCUACUUUUUCGUGGGGGAUAACGUAGGGAAACUUACGCUCAUACCGCAUACGACCUACGGGUGAAAGCAUGGGAUCUUCGGACCUUGCGCGAUUGAAUGAGCCGAUGUCGGAGUAGCUAGUUGGCGGGGUAAAGGCCAACCACGGCGAGGAUCCGUAGCUGGUCUGAGAGGAUGAUCAGCCACACUGGAACUGAGACACGGUCCAUACUCCUACGGGAGGCAGCAGUGGGGAAUAUUGGACAAUGGGCGCAAGCCUGAUCCAGCCAUACCGCGUGUGUGAAGAAGGCCUUCGGGUUGUAAAGCCCUUUUGUUGGGAAAGAAAAGCAGCAGGUUAAUACCCCGCUGUUCUGACGGUACCCAAAGAAUAAGCACCGGCUAACUUCGUG